GACGAACGCUGGCGGCGUGCUUAACACAUGCAAGUCGAACGGAAAGGCCCUGCUUUUGUGGGGUGCUCGAGUGGCGAACGGGUGAGUAACACGUGAGUAACCUGCCCUUGACUUUGGGAUAACUUCAGGAAACUGGGGCUAAUACCGGAUAGGAGCUCCUGCUGCAUGGUGGGGGUUGGAAAGUUUCGGCGGUUGGGGAUGGACUCGCGGCUUAUCAGCUUGUUAGUGGGGUAGUGGCUUACCAAGGCUUUGACGGGUAGCCGGCCUGAGAGGGUUGCCGGCCACAUUGGGACUGAGAUACGGACCAGACUCCUACGGGAGGCAGCAGUGGGGAAUAUUGCACAAUGGGGGGAAGCCUGAUGCAACAGCGCCGCGUGCGGGAUGACGGCCUUCGGGUUGAAAACCGCUUUCGACUGUGACGAAGAGUGAGUGACGGUAAUGGGUAAAGAAGCACCGGCUAACUACGUG
This 468-nucleotide ribosomal RNA is filed under the name uncultured bacterium. Its description in RNAcentral is "partial 16S ribosomal RNA". It matches the Rfam family "Bacterial small subunit ribosomal RNA", at positions 28 to 507 of the family's 1533-position model. The record is from RNAcentral.